GCCAGAGAUUGAACACCACCAGGUCUGGCCAGUGAGGUGGACGAGGACACUGUAAUUCUUCUAGGAGCCUGCCUUGCUGUUGGAGGGCGAUCAGCAGCAGCAUUCCCUGUAGUUGUAAUGAUGCCACAGAGACAUCCACGAAGGAGGACUUCAGAAGGAGAUACAGAAAUGACUACUGAAUUUAUAACACACCAUGCACAUGACAAGAGCCCAAAUGGAAGUAACACAAAAGAGGUAAGGAAGUAGCAAGGACAGAACUAAUUUCGU
RNAcentral lists this long non-coding RNA (267 nucleotides) under Fukomys damarensis (Damara mole-rat). RNAcentral's name for it is "lncRNA (ENSFDAG00000029364.1)". The record is from RNAcentral. Lineage: Eukaryota; Metazoa; Chordata; Mammalia; Rodentia; Bathyergidae.